RNAcentral lists this unclassified non-coding RNA (244 nucleotides) under plant metagenome. RNAcentral describes it as "partial contains small subunit ribosomal RNA, internal transcribed spacer 1, and 5.8S ribosomal RNA". The record is from RNAcentral.
UCUCCGUUGGUGAACCAGCGGAGGGAUCAUUACCGAGUUUAUAACUCCCAAACCCAAUGUGAACCAUACCAAACUGUUGCCUCGGCGGGGUCACGCCCCGGGUGCGUCGCAGCCCCGGAACCAGGCGCCCGCCGGAGGGACCAACCAAACUCUUUCUGUAGUCCCCUCGCGGACGUUAUUUUUACAGCUCUGAGCAAAAAUUCAAAAUGAAUCAAAACUUUCAACAACGGAUCUCUUGGUUCUG